Non-coding RNA from Podarcis lilfordi (Lilford's wall lizard), 70 nucleotides. The record is from the annotation of a GenBank genome assembly. NCBI's taxonomy places the organism in Eukaryota, Metazoa, Chordata, Lepidosauria, Squamata, Lacertidae.
ACGUGGCACAGGGGCCCGAUGCAUCUGGCUGUUAACCAGAAGGUUGGUGGUUUAAGCCCACCCAGAGAUG